UGCCAGCAGCCGCGGUAAUACGUAGGGGGCAAGCGUUAUCCGGAAUUACUGGGUGUAAAGGGUGCGUAGGCGGUUUAUUAGGUUAGGUGUGAAAGCCCGAGGCUCAACUUCGGGACUGCACUUAAAACUGGUAAACUAGAAUACAGGAGAGGUAAGUGGAAUUCCUAGUGUAGCGGUGAAAUGCGUAGAUAUUAGGAGGAACACCAGUGGCGAAGGCGACUUACUGGACUGUUAUUGACGCUGAGGCACGAAAGCGUGGGGAGCGAACAGGAUUAGAUA
This 279-nucleotide ribosomal RNA is filed under the name uncultured bacterium. RNAcentral describes it as "partial 16S ribosomal RNA". It matches the Rfam family "Bacterial small subunit ribosomal RNA", at positions 506 to 784 of the family's 1533-position model. The record is from RNAcentral.